Molecule: ribosomal RNA, 775 nt
Filed under: uncultured Neocallimastigales
Lineage: Eukaryota; Fungi; Neocallimastigomycota; Neocallimastigomycetes; Neocallimastigales
Description: partial large subunit ribosomal RNA
Rfam family: Eukaryotic large subunit ribosomal RNA
Source: RNAcentral
GUAGUCUCGCACAGAUGCAUAUCAAUAAGCGGAGGAAAAGAAACUAACAAGGAUUCCCCUAGUAACGGCGAGUGAAGCGGGAAGAGCUCAAAUUUGAAAUCUUAAAGGGUUUCCCUUUAACGAAUUGUAGUUUAAAGAAGUGUUUUCUGUUGAGGUUUUGGUAAAAGUUCUUUGGAAUAGGACAUCAUAGAGGGUGAGAAUCCCGUAUUUGACCUUUACUUUCAACUUUGUGAUACACUUUCAAAGAGUCGGAUUGUUUGGGAAUGCAGUCCAAAAUGGGUGGUAAAUUUCAUCUAAAGCUAAAUAUUGGCGAGAGACCGAUAGCGAACAAGUACCGUGAGGGAAAGAUGAAAAGAACUUUGAAAAGAGAGUUAAACAGUACGUGAAAUCGUCAAAAGGGAAGCGUUUGACACCAGUGUUGUUUUUCUGAAAAUCAAUUAAAGAACUGUUUAUGCUAAGCUGUUUAGACUUUAUCAGCUAACUGUUUAGUUUUGAGCUUUUCUUUAAUGCACUUUUCAGUUAACAAGUCAACAUCAAUUUCUUUUGCUGUAAAAAAGCUUGAGGAAGGUGGCUUGAGAUUCGUCUUAAGUGUUUAUAGCCUCUUGCCUAUGCAGUCGGAGAGAUUGAGGUCUGCAGCGUAGAUCCUUCGGGGCUAAAUGCAUUUGUGCUAAGUUAUAGCAUUUUAUAGACAACUUGUUGACUAUGAUUUGUCUUGUAGCUUACUCGCUUAUGUUAUUUUACCUACGCUUAGGAUGUUGAUCUGUAGUGCGUGCGC